This 427-nucleotide ribosomal RNA is filed under the name uncultured bacterium. RNAcentral's name for it is "partial 16S ribosomal RNA". It matches the Rfam family "Bacterial small subunit ribosomal RNA", at positions 355 to 774 of the family's 1533-position model. The record is from RNAcentral.
UGGGGAAUAUUGGACAAUGGGCGAAAGCCUGAUCCAGCCAUGCCGCGUGUGUGAAGAAGGUCUUCGGAUUGUAAAGCACUUUAAGUUGGGAGGAAGGGCAUUAACCUAAUACGUUAGUGUUUUGACGUUACCGACAGAAUAAGCACCGGCUAACUCUGUGCCAGCAGCCGCGGUAAUACAGAGGGUGCAAGCGUUAAUCGGAAUUACUGGGCGUAAAGCGCGCGUAGGUGGUUUGUUAAGUUGGAUGUGAAAUCCCCGGGCUCAACCUGGGAACUGCAUUCAAAACUGACUGACUAGAGUAUGGUAGAGGGUGGUGGAAUUUCCUGUGUAGCGGUGAAAUGCGUAGAUAUAGGAAGGAACACCAGUGGCGAAGGCGACCACCUGGACUAAUACUGACACUGAGAUGCGAAAGCGUGGGGAGCAAACA